GAUGAACGCUGGCGGCGUGCCUAAUACAUGCAAGUCGAGCGAACAGAUGAGGAGCUUGCUCCUCUGACGUUAGCGGCGGACGGGUGAGUAACACGUGGAUAACCUACCUAUAAGACUGGGAUAACUUCGGGAAACCGGAGCUAAUACCGGAUAAUAUAUUGAACCGCAUGGUUCAAUAGUGAAAGACGGUUUUGCUGUCACUUAUAGAUGGAUCCGCGCCGCAUUAGCUAGUUGGUAAGGUAACGGCUUACCAAGGCAACGAUGCGUAGCCGACCUGAGAGUGUGAUCGGCCACACUGGAACUGAGACACGGUCCAGUCUCCUACUGGAGGCAGCAGUAGGGAAUCUUCCGCAAUGGGCGGAAGCCUGACGGAGCAGUGCCGCGUGAGUGAUGAAGGCCUUCGGAUCGUAAGACUCUGUUAUUAGGGAAGAACAAAUGUGUAAGUAACUAUGCACGUCUUGACGGUACCUAAUCAGACCGCCACGGCUAACUACGUG
RNAcentral lists this ribosomal RNA (497 nucleotides) under uncultured bacterium. RNAcentral's name for it is "partial 16S ribosomal RNA". It matches the Rfam family "Bacterial small subunit ribosomal RNA", at positions 28 to 507 of the family's 1533-position model. The record is from RNAcentral.